Molecule: unclassified non-coding RNA, 310 nt
Filed under: plant metagenome
Description: partial contains 5.8S ribosomal RNA, internal transcribed spacer 2, and large subunit ribosomal RNA
Rfam family: 5.8S ribosomal RNA (bases 1-105)
Source: RNAcentral
GAAAUGCGAUAAGUAGUGUGAAUUGCAGAAUUCAGUGAAUCAUCGAAUCUUUGAACGCACAUUGCGCCCCUUGGUAUUCCAUGGGGCAUGCCUGUUCGAGCGUCAUUUGUACCCUCAAGCUCUGCUUGGUGUUGGGUGUUUGUCCCCGUCUCCGCGUGUGGACUCGCCCCAAAGUGAUUGGCAGCCGGCGUACUGGUCCCGGAGCGCAGCACAUGUCGCGCAAACGAGUGCCUUGGUACGGCGGCGUCCAUAAGCCCCUCUCUCACGCUCUUGACCUCGGAUCAGGUAGAGAUACCCGCUGAACUUAGGC